RNAcentral lists this ribosomal RNA (914 nucleotides) under uncultured archaeon. RNAcentral's name for it is "bacterial SSU rRNA". It matches the Rfam family "Archaeal small subunit ribosomal RNA", at positions 4 to 924 of the family's 1478-position model. The record is from RNAcentral.
GCGGUUGAUCCCGCCGGACCUGACUGCUAUCGGAUUGAUACUAAGCCAUGCGAGUCAUUGUAGCAAUACAAGGCAGACGGCUCAGUAACGCGUAGUCAAUCUACCCUAUGGACGGGAAUAACCUCGGGAAACUGAGAAUAAUGCCCGAUAGAACAUUAUGCCUGGAAUGGUUUAUGUUUCAAAUGAUUUAUCGCCAUAGGAUGGGACUGCGGCCUAUCAGUUUGUUGGUGAGGUAAUGGCCCACCAAGACUAUUACAGGUACGGGCUCUGAGAGGAGUAGCCCGGAGAUGGGUACUGAGACACGGACCCAGGCCCUAUGGGGCGCAGCAGGCGAGAAAACUUUGCAAUGUGCGAAAGCACGACAAGGUUAAUCCGAGUGGUUUCUGCUAAAGAAACCUUUUGUCAGUCCUAGAAACACUAACGAAUAAGGGGUGGGCAAGUUCUGGUGUCAGCCGCCGCGGUAAAACCAGCACCUCAAGUGGUCAGGAUGAUUAUUGGGCCUAAAGCAUCCGUAGCUCGUUUUGUAAGUUUUCGGUUAAAUCCAUGCGCUUAACGUAUGGGCUGCCGGGAAUACUGCAUAACUAGGAAGUGGGAGAGGUAGACGGUACUCGGUAGGAAGGGGUAAAAUCCUUUGAUCUAUUGAUGACCACCUGUGGCGAAGGCGGUCUACCAGAACACGUUCGACGGUGAGGGAUGAAAGCUGGGGGAGCAAACCGGAUUAGAUACCCGGGUAGUCCCAGCUGUAAACUAUGCAAACUCAGUGAUGCAUUGGCUUAUGGCCAAUGCAGUGCUGCAGGGAAGCCGUUAAGUUUGCCGCCUGGGAAGUACGUACGCAAGUAUGAAGCUUAAAGGAAUUGGCGGGGGAGCACCACAAGGGGUGAAGCCUGCGGUUCAAUUGGAGUCAACGCCGGAAA